RNAcentral lists this unclassified non-coding RNA (332 nucleotides) under soil metagenome. Its description in RNAcentral is "partial contains 5.8S ribosomal RNA, internal transcribed spacer 2, and large subunit ribosomal RNA". The stretch from base 1 to 120 matches the Rfam family "5.8S ribosomal RNA", at positions 35 to 154 of the family's 154-position model. The record is from RNAcentral.
GAUGAAGAACGUAGCGAAAUGCGAUAAGUAGUGUGAAUUGCAGAAUUCAGUGAAUCAUCGAAUCUUUGAACGCACAUUGCGCCCCUUGGUAUUCCAUGGGGCAUGCCUGUUCGAGCGUCAUUUGUACCUUCAAGCUCUGCUUGGUGUUGGGUGAUUGUCUAUCUUUAUAGACUCGCCUUAAAGUCAUUGGCAGCCGGCAUAUUGGCCUGGGAGCGCAGCACAAGUCGCGCUUCUUGUCAUGAAUGUUGGCGUCCAGUAAGUCUACAUAUUUUGCUCUUGACCUCGGAUCAGGUAGGGAUACCCGCUGAACUUAAGCAUAUCAAUAGCGGAGG